RNAcentral lists this ribosomal RNA (446 nucleotides) under uncultured bacterium. Its description in RNAcentral is "partial 16S ribosomal RNA". It matches the Rfam family "Bacterial small subunit ribosomal RNA", at positions 338 to 795 of the family's 1533-position model. The record is from RNAcentral.
CCUACGGGAGGCAGCAGUCGAGAAUCAUUCACAAUGGGGGAAACCCUGAUGGUGCGACGCCGCGUGGGGGAAUGAAGGUCUUCGGAUUGUAAACCCCUGUCAUGUGGGAGCAAAUUAAAAAGAUAGUACCACAAGAGGAAGAGACGGCUAACUCUGUGCCAGCAGCCGCGGUAAUACAGAGGUCUCAAGCGUUGUUCGGAAUCACUGGGCGUAAAGCGUGCGUAGGCUGUUUCGUAAGUCGUGUGUGAAAGGCGCGGGCUCAACCCGCGGACGGCACAUGAUACUGCGAGACUAGAGUAAUGGAGGGGGAGGCGGAAUUCUCGGUGUAGGAGUGAAAUGCGUAGAGAUCGAGAGGAACACUCGUGGCGAAGGCGAGUUCCUGGACCUUAACUGACGCUGAGGCGCGAAGGCGAGGGGAGCGAAAGGGAUUAGAUACCCCUGUAGUC